RNAcentral lists this ribosomal RNA (253 nucleotides) under uncultured bacterium. RNAcentral describes it as "partial 16S ribosomal RNA". It matches the Rfam family "Bacterial small subunit ribosomal RNA", at positions 524 to 776 of the family's 1533-position model. The record is from RNAcentral.
UACGUAGGUGGCAAGCGUUGUCCGGAUUUAUUGGGUUUAAAGGGUGCGUAGGCGGCCCUGUAAGUCAGUGCUGAAAUAUCCCGGCUUAACCGGGAGGGUGGCAUUGAUACUGCGGGGCUAGAGUACAGAUGAGGUAGGCGGAAUUGACGGUGUAGCGGUGAAAUGCUUAGAUAUCGUCAAGAACACCUAUAGCGAAGGCAGCUUACUAGGCUGUAACUGACACUGAGGCACGAAAGUGUGGGGAUCAAACAGG